UUUGUGAUAUUUAGGAAUAGACUGGAUGAUAGGAAAUGAAAGCACAAUCCGUUGUUACUGAAAUUGAGAAAGGUAGUAACUCCUCCUCAGCAGUUUGGUUAGUUCGAUGCUUUUGAUAGCUUUGCAGCAGAUGAUCAGCAGUGGACUUGUACUCUUCAUGUCUUACACAUACGAUGUGCACUGAUACAAAAGCACAAAAACAUAUCUGCAGAGUUUCUUUGUGCAUUUUGCUACUGUCCUAGGGCACUGCUGUCUCUACUGGUCAUUUUAGGUUUGUGUUUGGAUCUUACCUUUUAAUUUCAAAUGCAAGAGCCCAAAGAACUGAUUCUUUCACUUUUUUGUUCAUUUUAUUUCAAAUUUAGGACGGGAGAUUAAGAGUCUUCUUUCAGAAUAAAACGAUGAAUCAAAUGAAAUUAUGGUUCAUGUAUUAACUAAGUGACCAUCAAAAUUAG
This 452-nucleotide long non-coding RNA is filed under the name Bos taurus (domestic cattle). RNAcentral's name for it is "long non-coding RNA NONBTAT001667". The record is from RNAcentral. Lineage: Eukaryota; Metazoa; Chordata; Mammalia; Artiodactyla; Bovidae.